AACACUGUUAACCUGCGGUACCUGCGGAAGGAUCAUUAACAAGCUGUGGGAGAUCGAUCAAUUUGAUCUCACACCUGGCCAACCUUGUUAACCUUAAAUAUAUUGCUUUGGUGAGCCCUGCUCACCAAAGUCAAACCCUAAACUCUUGAUUGUUUCUGCUGUCUGAGCAUGCAAGUGCAAAAUUUAGUUAAAAACUUUUAACAAUGGAUCU
RNAcentral lists this unclassified non-coding RNA (211 nucleotides) under soil metagenome. RNAcentral's name for it is "partial contains 5.8S ribosomal RNA, internal transcribed spacer 2, and large subunit ribosomal RNA". The record is from RNAcentral.